This 919-nucleotide ribosomal RNA is filed under the name human gut metagenome. Its description in RNAcentral is "bacterial SSU rRNA". It matches the Rfam family "Bacterial small subunit ribosomal RNA", at positions 8 to 940 of the family's 1533-position model. The record is from RNAcentral.
AGAGUUUGAUCCUGGCUCAGGACGAACGCUGGCGGCGCGCCUAACACAUGCAAGUCGAACGAGAGAGAGGGAGCUUGCUUCCUCGAUCGAGUGGCGAACGGGUGAGUAACGCGUGAGGAACCUGCCUCAAAGAGGGGGACAACAGUUGGAAACGACUGCUAAUACCGCAUAAGCCCACGGGUCGGCAUCGACCAGAGGGAAAAGGAGCAAUCCGCUUUGAGAUGGCCUCGCGUCCGAUUAGCUAGUUGGUGAGGUAAUGGCCCACCAAGGCGACGAUCGGUAGCCGGACUGAGAGGUUGAACGGCCACAUUGGGACUGAGACACGGCCCAGACUCCUACGGGAGGCAGCAGUGGGGAAUAUUGCACAAUGGGGGAAACCCUGAUGCAGCGACGCCGCGUGGAGGAAGAAGGUCUUCGGAUUGUAAACUCCUGUUGUUGAGGAAGAUAAUGACGGUACUCAACAAGGAAGUGACGGCUAACUACGUGCCAGCAGCCGCGGUAAAACGUAGGUCACAAGCGUUGUCCGGAAUUACUGGGUGUAAAGGGAGCGCAGGCGGGAGAACAAGUUGGAAGUGAAAUCCAUGGGCUCAACCCAUGAACUGCUUUCAAAACUGUUUUUCUUGAGUAGUGCAGAGGUAGGCGGAAUUCCCGGUGUAGCGGUGGAAUGCGUAGAUAUCGGGAGGAACACCAGUGGCGAAGGCGGCCUACUGGGCACCAACUGACGCUGAGGCUCGAAAGUGUGGGUAGCAAACAGGAUUAGAUACCCUGGUAGUCCACACCGUAAACGAUGAUUACUAGGUGUUGGAGGAUUGACCCCUUCAGUGCCGCAGUUAACACAAUAAGUAAUCCACCUGGGGAGUACGACCGCAAGGUUGAAACUCAAAGGAAUUGACGGGGGCCCGCACAAGCAGUGGAGUAU